GUUUUCUUUUUUGGACACCCUCUUCUAUUCUAGUUCCAGCACCAUCUCAAACCGCCAAAUUCAAUUUUGUAUUCUUUUAUGAAUUUUUCUCUUAUAAUUUCGGUGAUUAUUAUCAUCUUUUGCAGUAUAAAAUAAUAAGAAUUGUAGAAUCAACGGCUAUAAAUAGGCCUCCCUCUCUGCUCUCAUUUGCGCUCCAAGGAAAAUGGAUACCAUUUCAAGCUCAACUUCACUCUCAACUCCGCGGUUCCGGUGCUUCGAUCCUACAAACUCUUAUCAUUCAACAACAACAGUCAAUCACAGGCCUUAUUUCUUGACCUUCUCUGCAAAUUCUACCACCGCUAGUACCAGAGAUUGCUCUUCCAAGGACGCCAUGAAAAAUUCUACAAAAUACGAGCCCAAGAUCAUCACCGGUGACGAUGGCUACGUUCUUGAAGACGUUCCUCACUUGACAGAUCACAUAUCUGAUCUCCCUACAUAUCCCAAUCCAUUACAAGACAAUCCUUCCUAUUCAGUUGUCAAGCAGUAUUUCGUUAAUGCGGAUGAUACUGUAGCCCAGAAGAUUGUUGUACAGAAAGACAGUCUAAGAGGAACUCACUUUAGACGUGCUGGGCCUCGUCAAAAGGUGUACUUCGAGUCAGAUGAAGUGCACGCAUGUAUUGUAACAUGUGGUGGUCUAUGCCCUGGUUUAAACACAGUGAUUAGAGAAUUAGUGUGUGGCUUGUAUCACAUGUAUGGUGUUAACAGAGUUCUUGGGAUAGAGGGAGGAUACAGAGGCUUUUAUGCUCGGAAUACAGUUCCCCUGUCACCGAAGGUUGUGAAUGAUAUCCAUAAACGUGGUGGUACCAUCCUUGGGACGUCUAGAGGAGGCUAUGAUACCUCCAAGAUAGUUGACAGCAUCCAGGACAGGGGCAUCAAUCAGGUUUAUAUAAUUGGAGGAGAUGGAACUCAAAGAGGGGCUUCAGUGAUUUUUGAGGAAAUUAGAAGACGUGGCCUCAAAGUUGCUGUGGUUGGAAUUCCAAAGACAAUUGACAAUGACAUUCCGGUUAUAGACAAGUCCUUCGGUUUUGAUACUGCUGUUGAGGAGGCUCAACGAGCUAUUAAUGCGGCCCAUGUCGAGGCUGAGAGCUUUGAGAAUGGUAUAGGUGUUGUCAAGUUAAUGGGACGGCACAGUGGAUUUAUAGCAAUGUAUGCUACUCUUGCCAGCCGAGAUGUGGACUGUUGCUUGAUUCCAGAAUCACCCUUUUACCUUGAAGGCCCUGGUGGACUUUUUGAAUUCAUUAGAAAAAGACUAAAAGAACAUGGGCACAUGGUUAUUGUAAUUGCUGAAGGUGCAGGACAAGAGCUUCUUUGUGAAAGUAUGCGUGCCAUGGACCAGCAGGAUGCUUCAGGAAACAAGUUACUCCAAGAUGUUGGUUUGUGGAUAUCCCAGAAAAUUAAAGAUAACUUUGCAAACCGGGAAAAGAUGAAUAUAACUCUCAAAUACAUUGAUCCCACUUACAUGAUCCGUGCUAUUCCAAGCAAUGCGUCUGACAAUGUGUACUGCACUCUACUAGCUCACAGUGCCAUUCAUGGUGCAAUGGCAGGAUAUACAGGGUUCACAGUUGGGCCUGUUAAUGGAAGACAUGCUUACAUACCAUUUCAUCGGGUGACUGAGAGACAGAACAAGGUUGUAAUUACUGAUAGAAUGUGGGCAAGACUUCUGUCGUCAACAAAUCAGCCAAGCUUUGUGGAUCCUAAACAAGUAAUUAAAGAUAAAGACACCGUAGAUGAAGAACCACGGAGUCAAUUACUAAAUGGGGAAAAUCACAUCGAUACGCUGACAACCCAGGAAAGGGUUUAAAACAAUACAUGCCAAAUUGAGUAACAUUGCUGUGGAGAACAUACUUCUUGCAGCGUCCUUAUCGGAUGCUGGCUUUGGUCACGUUCUAUUUAGUACCCUGUUUCAGAAACUCCCGCAAGGUUUUUGUGCAAGUUGCUGUUAAGUUUUCAGGCUUGUUCUUUCUUGUUGUAGUACCAGAGAAACAUUUGUAAACCAGCCUAAGCAGUCAGCGCUGGAGGUGUGUUUUUCCAAGUCAUUCAGCUGCGUAUAAAGUUGUUAGAUCAGUGAUCAAAACAAGUAAUUUUGAACUGUUUGCUUUUGUAAAAACAUAACCUCGCAACUCUUCUUCUUACUCCUCUCUCGUCCAUUAUCACCAGUUC
RNAcentral lists this unclassified non-coding RNA (2199 nucleotides) under Hevea brasiliensis (rubber tree). The record is from RNAcentral. Lineage: Eukaryota; Viridiplantae; Streptophyta; Magnoliopsida; Malpighiales; Euphorbiaceae.